RNAcentral lists this ribosomal RNA (253 nucleotides) under uncultured bacterium. Its description in RNAcentral is "partial 16S ribosomal RNA". It matches the Rfam family "Bacterial small subunit ribosomal RNA", at positions 524 to 776 of the family's 1533-position model. The record is from RNAcentral.
UACGGAGGGAGCUAGCGUUGUUCGGAAUUACUGGGCGUAAAGCGCGCGUAGGCGGCUUUGUAAGUUAGAGGUGAAAGCCCGGGGCUCAACCCCGGAACUGCCUUUAAGACUGCAUCGCUUGAAUCCAGGAGAGGUGAGUGGAAUUCCGAGUGUAGAGGUGAAAUUCGUAGAUAUUCGGAAGAACACCAGUGGCGAAGGCGGCUCACUGGUCCGGUACUGACGCUGAGGUGCGAAAGCGUGGGGAGCAAACAGG